Molecule: transfer RNA, 74 nt
Filed under: Pseudomonadota bacterium
Lineage: Bacteria; Pseudomonadati; Pseudomonadota
Also listed under: 1 other name
Description: tRNA-Asp
Rfam family: tRNA
About the family: Transfer RNA (tRNA) molecules are approximately 80 nucleotides in length. Their secondary structure includes four short double-helical elements and three loops (D, anti-codon, and T loops).
Source: RNAcentral
GCGGUCGUAGCUCAAUUGGCUAGAGCGCAUCCCUGUCACGGAUGAGGCUGCGGGUUCGAGACCCGUCGAUCGCG